GCUGAGUAUAAUGGUGCGAGCCUGUAGGCCCAGCUACUAAGGAGGCUGAGGCAGGAGAAUUGCUUGAACUCGGGAGGCAGAGGUCGCGGUGAGCCGAGAUCACGCCAUUGCACUCCAGCCUGGACAACAAGAGCUAGACUCUGUCUCAAAAAAAAAAAAUAAAAAUAAAUAAAUAAAAAUGAAAAUAAAAAAAGUGAUGCCCUCUUAGAAGCCAGAGACCACUAGGCUGCCUUAGGUAGGGUGAAAAGGCCCAGGUCAGAGAUGGAGCAGGUCAAAACUCCUGUGCUGAUCAGUAGUGGGAUAGUGCCUAUGAAUCACCACUGCACUCCAGCCUGGGCAACAUAGUGAGAUUCUGUCUCA
Molecule: small RNA, 360 nt
Filed under: Pongo abelii (Sumatran orangutan)
Lineage: Eukaryota; Metazoa; Chordata; Mammalia; Primates; Hominidae
Rfam family: Metazoan signal recognition particle RNA
About the family: The signal recognition particle (SRP) is a universally conserved ribonucleoprotein. It is involved in the co-translational targeting of proteins to membranes.
Source: RNAcentral